GGCCAACAGAUCGCCAGAUCGUUGAGCUGCAUUGGCGGGAUUUCGCCGUCUUCGUUUCUCUUUCUUCGCGGACGAACACGCGCUGGGCCUGCAACGGCAGGAUCCAGGGUCCUUAACGGGAUGUGCGUUAGGGGCUUGUAGCUCAGUUGGUUAGAGCGCGCGCUUGAUAAGCGUGAGGUCGGAAGUUCAAGUCUUCCCAGGCCCACCACUUUCAUCGAGUGAGCAUUCGUCUUCUGGUUACGGGGCCAUAGCUCAGCUGGGAGAGCGCGUGCUUUGCAAGCAUGAGGUCGUCGGUUCGAUCCCGUCUGGCUCCACCAGAUGGUUUGAUCACCGAGAUCUUGACCGUCGUCCGCGAAACAUCACUUCGCAUCCUGCUAGUCUGGAUAGACAGCAGUUUGCGUGUUUUCUGACAUCGUAAAGAGGAGAUCGAUCCGAGUUGGGUCGUGCAGCAUAUCGUUGCGCGAGCCUUCAUUAUCUCCGGAUCAUUUCGGCGCUCGCUUCCAGCCGUGAGGUUGGAUGCGGGUUGUAAAUGAUCCUUUUAGCGAAGCUUGACCGCCUCGCUAUCGGAACGAUCUUACGAAGCAAGCUGGUCUUUCUAGUCAAUGUCCGGCUGCGGAUAGCGUUCAUCGAGGGCGCGUGCCGCAAGGCAAUUCUGCAGACAACAUUCUGCCGAGUGUGUGGACAUUGAUAAUGAGAGCAAUCAAGUGCCUUAAGGGUGUUCGGUGGAUGCCUUGGCGCUGAGAGGCGAUGAAGGACGUGCUACGCUGCGAUAAGCCGUGGGGAG
This 784-nucleotide unclassified non-coding RNA is filed under the name Bradyrhizobium sp. Its description in RNAcentral is "partial may contain 16S ribosomal RNA, 16S-23S ribosomal RNA intergenic spacer, and 23S ribosomal RNA". The stretch from base 132 to 205 matches the Rfam family "tRNA". Lineage: Bacteria; Pseudomonadati; Pseudomonadota; Alphaproteobacteria; Hyphomicrobiales; Nitrobacteraceae. The record is from RNAcentral.